Long non-coding RNA from Prionailurus viverrinus (fishing cat), 4245 nucleotides. RefSeq lists it as uncharacterized. The transcript has 3 exons. The record is from RefSeq and is a predicted model, not a curated record. Lineage: Eukaryota; Metazoa; Chordata; Mammalia; Carnivora; Felidae.
CGGGCGAGUGACGUGCGCGCCCCGCGGACGCCGAGGGGGCGCGCGCGGCCGCGAGGUGCCGAGCCGCGGGAACGGAUGAGUAGGGCCGCCCUCCGUGGAAACACGGUUUUGAAGAGGGCCUGCGUACACGCUGGGCCCUUCACAUCUGUAGACGGUGGAGGCCAGGAGAAAGGAUACUGUGUGCGAUGAGGUAAAGCAUGUGAGAGUGCUUUGUAACCGGAAAGUGCCUUUCAAAACAGCUCCUGGUUUGCUGCUGGUACCUGAUAGAGAUGGAACUCCUGACCAUGGGACAUCAAGUGACUAUGUGAAUGAUCGAACUACUACUCGUCAUGAACUGGUGUUAUCUGAUUCACCAAUCAUACAACUGGAUGGGCAUAACAGCAGUUCACUCCCUACAAAACUGGGUACAUGGCCACAACUAAACUGAAUAAGCAGGUGACUCAGACUACUGUUAUUAGUACCUGCCCCUAUUCCUUCAGCACUUCUCCCUCAAUCCAUAUACACUGGCUUCAAAGGGGGUUCCCUCUGACCAAUUAAUGAAGGAAAAAAGUUUAGGUCUUGUUAAUUCACAAAAGGGUCUGCAAUGAGCUGGCAAUAGCUGGGUGUGAGUGGUCACUAUACAACACCAUCGCUCAAUAGUGGCCCUGAAUCACAACAGUAAAGGGAAAUCCUUUCCUUGAGAACUUUAGGAGACGUGGCCUGAGGUAAGGGUAUAGAGUGGUUCAUUGUGAGUGGCUUAUGAGUCGACAGGCUGGACAAGAACUUAAAACAAAUUAGAAAACUGGUUCAGUUUAUGGAGCCAACCAGGAGACAAUAACCUCCAAAUUUAGGAUGCAGACUUCAGAAUAAAGUAUUAUGCUUAAAUGCAGUAACCAAUAUGUAGUGCCAUCUUUCCCAGAAGGUAUGUAUAGUGGAGAUGAGCAUGGUCCCUCUAUUUUCUAUAUGUCUAUUUUUUUUAAAUAACUGGGAGCAUGUUUUCUGAAUUUGGUGAAAAGCAUGAAAUUACAGAUCCACAAAGCUCAGUGAAGCACAGGUAGGAAAAUUACCAAUGCGUGUUAUUGUCAAACUGACAAAACUAAGAAAAAUAUCUUAAAAGCAUUCAGAAAAAGUGCACAUCACACACAGGAGGGCUAUUAUAUGAAUUUUUAAAAGUUUUUUAAUGGAAGCAUAACACACAUGUAGAAAAGUACACAAAUAUAAUUAUUUAGCACAACUUAUCACAAAGUAAAGAUAACUGUGUAAUCAACACCCACAUCAAUAGCUACAACACUAACAUGCCCCCUUCUUAGUCAUUCUUCUUCUUUCUUCCCAAAGGUAAUCACUUUCCCAAAUUCUAACACCAAAGAUUAGGUUUGCCAAUGGUUAACUUAUAUAUAUUGAAUACAUAACUGUAUUCUCUUGUGUCUGGCUUCCUUUGUUUAAUAUUGUGAGGUUCAUCUCUCUGCCCCUCCCCUGCUCACUCAUCUCUCACUCUCUCAAAUAAACAAACAUUAAAAAAAAAUCUUUAAAGAAAACAUUGUGAGGUUUAUCCAUGUUACCUGGAUCGGUUGUUCAUUUAUUUUCAUUGUUAUACAAUGAAUGAAUAUAUUGCCAUUUACUUACCCGUUCUACCGUUGAUAGAUAUUGGCAAUGUUUCCAUUUAGGGCUAUUAUAAAGACUGAUGCUAUGAACAUUCUUUUGUAUGUCUUUUGGGGUACACAUGUAUGCAUUUUUGUUAGGUUCUCUAUUAUACCUAAAAACCCACUUGAAGAAUUUUUUGGUCCCUGAAACUUUGGACUUAGUGGUUUUGGUAGUAAACUUGGUACUAAAGAGAGAAAUGCUUCCUAAUACUUCAACGAAUUAGAAGUGGACACUGUUCACUGGCAGGUUUGGGCUUUUUCUGUCACUAACCAACAAGAGAGAAGGAAAUCACUCUACUGGCAGGGUGAGGGAUCCCUUUUAACAGGGGGAAAUUGCAUUGCUGCUAUACAGCAGAAUAAAUAUGACUGUAUAUGGACUGUAACAGUAUUCUCUGAGAAGCUUGUUUGUAUUCUCUUAGCCAAUAGUCCAGUAAAAAACUAGGGUAACCCAAAAAGGACCUCUGCUAGGACUCAUAAGAAUGACUGUUGGGAGUACCCCACCCGGUAAGAAUCCCAUCCAGGUGAGGUACAAACAAAAAGUGAGAGAAACCAAGAAUGGACGGUGAAUAGGGCACCUGGAUAGCUCAAUUGGUUAAGCAUCUGAUUUCAGCUCAGGUCAUGAUCUCAUGGUUUGUGGGUUUGAGCCAUCAGGCUCUGUGCUGACAGCGUGGAGCCUGCUUCAGAUUCUCUCCCUCUCUCUGCCCAGCUGUUCAUGCUCUCUCUCUGUCGCUCACUCCCUCUUUCUCUCUCUCAAAAAUAAGCAUUAAAAAAAAAGAAUGGAUGGUGAAAGAAAACAGCUAUGUUUAUGAAUCUAGGCCUCAUGACCAACUUAAAAAAGCAGGUUUUAAGAGACUAUGAUUAUGUUUUGUAACUUCUUUUCUCCCCUGCCAUAUAUGAAGAAUUCUAGGGUGCUAAUGUUUAUGGUUCCAGAGCUGAUUACACCACCCCAUGAUGAGUUUGUAACUGGUGGGAAGAGAUUGCUUAGUGGAAAAGAGUGAGUAGAUUCUGGCAUGCCCAAAUCUGGAAGUGAAAAAAGCAACAACAACAAAAAAAACAGAGCAGCAAGGAAAAUCGGUAAGCUUUACCCUGCAGCAAAUGCAGCAAAAAUAUCAAUCUGUUCUUAAGGAAUUAAGUGCUUCACAAAGGUGAGUUCUCCAUGUGACUAAGGCUUCAAUUAUUCAUCGUGGACAGUAACCCAGUGCAGUUUGAAGGUCCUUGUCAUUACAGGUGACCUAGUAAAUGUUUGACAACUAGCUCACCAGGAAAGAAAAAAAAAGCUUUGAUUAUGGUGUUUGCAAAUUUCUUGGGGUAAAUAUCCCACUGUGGCUCAUUUCAGGCUACCACAGGACAUCACAGAACACAGAAUUAGAAGAAGGUAUAUAUUAUCAAACUAUAAUAUUUCUAUAAUACGGAUAUGAUCACCAUAACCACAAAAACAUGGAUAAUAGUAAAAUGAGGAAAUGAUUUUUGAAUAUUUAUUAUUCUUAUAUAUUGGAUUUUAACAUAAUUGUCAGCUUACAUAGUUAAUUCUUCAUAAAGGCUGUGUUUAACAGCCUGCAAAAUUUCUAAAAAUGUUUAAAUGUACUCAUAAAGCAGUAUAAGCCAGCUCUAGCAUAUACUGCUUUCUGCACUCUUAGUUUUGGAAGUGACUUAGGCAAUAGCUAAUAUGAGUUGAAUCCUUCAUGCCUUUUUCAUAUUCCUCCAUGUAUAUGAUACCUUGUUAUGACUUUAUUACUUUUUAAAAUCUUCUGAGCCAGCUGUAAAUGUUUAAUUUGUCACUUGUAAAUAAACACAAACAAAAGGAACUCCAUGAACAAUGGGAAUAGAGACAUUUCCUCAAGGAAGAAAUAUAGACAGCAAAACAGCACAUUAAAAGAUGCUGAACAUCAUUAGUCACUAGGUAAAUGCAAAUUAAAAUAACAAUGAGCUAUACCACUACAUACCUAUUAGAAUGGCUGAUUAAAAAGACUGGUCAUAACAGGUCAGGGGGAAUUGGAAUUCUCAGUAUAUAACUAGUGAGAAUGUAAAAUGGUACAACCACUUGGAAAACAGCUUGGCAGUUUCUUAAAAAGGUAAAUGUAUACCUAUCAUAAUCCACCUAUUCCAUUCCUACCUAUUUACCAAAAAGAAAACCUAUGUCCAUACAAACACUUAUACAAGAGUAUUUGUUAUAGACAAAAACUGGAAACAACCAGAAUGUCCACCGAUGGGUGAAUGGAUAUAGAAAUUGUGGCAUAUCCAUACAAAGAAUACUACUCAGUAGUAAAAAAAACAAAAAACUGUUGAGUGACACAACAUAGGUAAAUCUCAAAAUAAUUAUGCUGAGUGAAAAAAGUCACGGAGGGCAUGCUGUUUGAUUCUAUUUAAAUAAAAUUAUAGAAAAUGCCAACUAAGCUAUAGGACAAAAUGAUCAUUGGCUUCAAGUGGGUGCAAGGAAGAGGGGUUGGGUUGGGGGAACAGAAAGGGUUUACAAAGGACUACACAGACACUUGUAGUGAGGCAUAUGUUUAUUAUCUUGAUUUUGGUGAUUGUUUCAUGGGUGUCAAAUUACCAAAUUGUGUACUUUAAAUAUAUGUGAUAUACUGUAUGUCAAUUAUAUUUCAAUAAAGCUAUAAUAAACUUUUAA